Varanus komodoensis (Komodo dragon) is the source of this 2248-nucleotide long non-coding RNA. RefSeq lists it as uncharacterized. The transcript has 3 exons. Lineage: Eukaryota; Metazoa; Chordata; Lepidosauria; Squamata; Varanidae. The record is from RefSeq and is a predicted model, not a curated record.
UGACGGCACAGGGCAUCUUGUUGUGCCCCAAACACAUCUAGCAUCAGAGUAACAGAAACAAUGGUCCUUCUAUCACUGUUGUCGUUCCCGGUGGUGUCAUGGUAUAGGAAAACCCCACCUUGAGUAGAUCAGUCUCAGAUGGAGUGAUGGGCGACCAAACGUCGCAGCGCUGAUGAGUCUGGCCCACGCAGAAGCUCAGGAAGCCCUUCCUUUUUAUUCCUUUAUCUGAGCUUUUGGCUCUCUAGGGCAGAACUCACUGUCCAGUUUCAUCCGGUUAAUUGCUUCACUUCCCCUGGAAUGCUCUUAUCACAGUCACUGGAAAGGGUCUUCACACCUCUCUUGACACAAGAAACACCUGCAGCCUGUACACAAGCAACUUGACAUCUCUGAACUCUCCUUUCUAGACCCUGCCUUGAUUCAGCAGCUUCACACUUGCACCCAAGAACCUCCAGGCCUCCUCUGUCUCCAGUAGCUCCACUUUCAUCCAACACUCAUCAUAAGGCAAGUAAUUUCAGAGUGCUUCAUCCAGAAAUUGUUCCACCUUCCUGGAACAUUAAUUCCAUCAUUUGUGCUAAAAUUAUAUGAUAUUGCACCUCCACCCCCAGACCAGCUGCUGGAAUGGAUUAGACGCACCCCCCCUCCGAAAGCAACACCCCUUCUCCUCUAAAGCCCUCCCUUCAUCAUGUAUUCUGCUGCAAUUGCUUUAGGGAGCUGGGGUUGCAAGAUGCCCCAAGCAGCAUCACCUCCUUGCCUGUCUUCCUGUUCCUAUAAAGUGUUACUGCUGGACGGCAUUGCUCCAAACCUAUUUAUUUAGGGAGAGCCAUUCUGCUCCCUUCCUGCAGGAAAUGCUGGAAAGAAAAGGACAUAAUUUCUGCAAAUGAUUCACUCCCCGAUAUCCCUUGCUCUGCUCCCCCUUUGCCUGAACACCUUGAAGUUAUUCUGCAGCCAUAUUGACGCUUUCUGCUACCAUCUGCUGCAACCAGUACGGAUAAGCUUUUCUGUGCCAGCCCUCUCCAUCCUCACAUAUCUCCGGGACCCCACUUCCUGCCUAUCACCCCCAAUCUGAACAGGAAGCAACCGCUUUUCCUCUGUUGGUUCAGUGUCGCCUCCCUCCCAGGAACACCUUCUAAUGCAAAAAGGGGAGAACAAAAUCUGUACAAAUGGCUCCUUCUUCCAAAAUCACCCUCUUUUUAAUACGCCAGAUCCUUUGCAUUUCUCGCAGGGAGGGGGGCUGCCCCACUCCAGACAGUGUCUAGGACAGGCAUAACUCUCUGUAAUUAAUCCCACCCCUUCAACAUUGGGCCCCCCCUCCCUAAACACAGACUCCCCGCCUGUAUUAUUAUGCACUGUUAUUGACAAACAUCAGGCAGGGAUAGCAAUCGCUAUCAUUCUCCGUCCCCGCACCGAGCUGCUAACUGGCUUUGAGCUAAUAGUUGCCCAGUCUCCCCCGCUAAUAGUGUGCCCCCCUCGCUCUUUUCCAACGUCCUUUGGCUCCCCCCAAAAUAAUGCUAGCUGCCGUUGCGUCGAUUUGCUGCAUUGCCCAGCCAUUUUGGCCGGUGCAUCAACGGACUCUCCCCCGCCCCCCAGUCUGCUGCAAUGACUGAAGGAGGAAUAUUCUAGCUCGACGCCACCUCCGCCCCCCACUCAGCCGCUGGGAUAGAUGUUCAUGUCCUCCGAUAAAGUCUCCGGCGAGUAAAGACGGAUGGGUGGUCUAGGAGGUCGCCCUCCAGCCAUCCUUCCCUGUUAGCAAUAAUGAUAAUAAAAAUGCUAUACCUGGCUCUGCCCCCAGCCGCUCCCUUCCAAUCUCCCCCGCUGCAACAAUUUCACAGACACCCCACUUCUUGCACGCACACCCCGCGCGAGCAGCAGCGCGAGGAGCAUUUGCAGCAUCGCUGCAGGAGGAAAUGCUGUGGGGUUCUCAGCCAGCUCCCCGCCGCCGCAUUCAGCAGCUGUCAAACUGGCGCUCGCUCUCGCCUCCCUGAGCCCCAUCGAUUUCGGUGCACCCACUUCGUGACAUCUCGCCGCCGUGCCCGGAAUGGCACCUCUGUGCGGGGACAGGGCUAAGGUGGGGAACGGGCGCUGAGAGCUGCGGCGGGCAGCCUCCCUGGAAGGGCAGCAGAACGUGUGGCGAGCCUCGCUCUGCCGGGAGACGGGGUGCUGUCCCUGGUGUUGAAAUCCUCGGCGCUUACCUGAUUGACGACUUCCAUCUUUGCUUGGGGAAAGCGAGGGCGACGCAGCAGAGCGCAGG